GGGGGGCACAGUAGGGAAUCUUCGGCAAUGGACGAAAGUCUGACCGAGCAACGCCGCGUGAGUGAAGAAGGUUUUCGGAUCGUAAAACUCUGUUGUUAGAGAAGAACAAGGACGUUAGUAACUGAACGUCCCCUGACGGUAUCUAACCAGAAAGCCACGGCUAACUACGUGCCAGCAGCCGCGGUAAUACGUAGGUGGCAAGCGUUGUCCGGAUUUAUUGGGCGUAAAGCGAGCGCAGGCGGUUUCUUAAGUCUGAUGUGAAAGCCCCCGGCUCAACCGGGGAGGGUCAUUGGAAACUGGGAGACUUGAGUGCAGAAGAGGAGAGUGGAAUUCCAUGUGUAGCGGUGAAAUGCGUAGAUAUAUGGAGGAACACCAGUGGCGAAGGCGGCUCUCUGGUCUGUAACUGACGCUGAGGCUCGAAAGCGUGGGGAGCAAACAGGAUUAGAUACCCUGGUAGUCCACGCCGUAAACGAUGAGUGCUAAGUGUUGGAGGGUUUCCGCCCUUCAGUGCUGCAGCAAACGCAUAAGCACUCCGCCUGGG
RNAcentral lists this ribosomal RNA (541 nucleotides) under Enterococcus faecalis. RNAcentral describes it as "bacterial SSU rRNA". It matches the Rfam family "Bacterial small subunit ribosomal RNA", at positions 343 to 877 of the family's 1533-position model. The record is from RNAcentral. Lineage: Bacteria; Bacillati; Bacillota; Bacilli; Lactobacillales; Enterococcaceae.